UGCAGUCGAGCGGUAAGGCCUUUCGGGGUACACGAGCGGCGAACGGGUGAGUAACACGUGGGUGAUCUGCCCUGCACUUCGGGAUAAGCCUGGGAAACUGGGUCUAAUACCGGAUAUGACCUCCUAUCGCAUGGUGGGUGGUGGAAAGAUUUAUCGGUGCAGGAUGGGCCCGCGGCCUAUCAGCUUGUUGGUGGGGUAAUGGCCUACCAAGGCGACGACGGGUAGCCGACCUGAGAGGGUGACCGGCCACACUGGGACUGAGACACGGCCCAGACUCCUACGGGAGGCAGCAGUGGGGAAUAUUGCACAAUGGGCGAAAGCCUGAUGCAGCGACGCCGCGUGAGGGAUGACGGCCUUCGGGUUGUAAACCUCUUUCAGCAGGGACGAAGCGCAAGUGACGGUACCUGCAGAAGAAGCACCGGCUAACUACGUGCCAGCAGCCGCGGUAAUACGUAGGGUGCAAGCGUUGUCCGGAAUUACUGGGCGUAAAGAGUUCGUAGGCGGUUUGUCGCGUCGUUUGUGAAAACCAGCAGCUCAACUGCUGGCUUGCAGGCGAUACGGGCAGACUUGAGUACUGCAGGGGAGACUGGAAUUCCUGGUGUAGCGGUGAAAUGCGCAGAUAUCAGGAGGAACA
This 634-nucleotide ribosomal RNA is filed under the name Rhodococcus sp. M67T3. RNAcentral's name for it is "bacterial SSU rRNA". It matches the Rfam family "Bacterial small subunit ribosomal RNA", at positions 56 to 708 of the family's 1533-position model. Lineage: Bacteria; Bacillati; Actinomycetota; Actinomycetes; Mycobacteriales; Nocardiaceae. The record is from RNAcentral.